Molecule: unclassified non-coding RNA, 192 nt
Filed under: Glomus sp.
Lineage: Eukaryota; Fungi; Glomeromycota; Glomeromycetes; Glomerales; Glomeraceae
Description: partial contains 5.8S ribosomal RNA and internal transcribed spacer 2
Rfam family: 5.8S ribosomal RNA (bases 1-65)
Source: RNAcentral
GUGAAUCAUCGAAUUUUUGAACGCAAAUUGCACUCUCCUCGAAGAGUAUGCCUGUUUGAGGGUCAGCCUCUAAAAAAUCGACAUCGUUGCUGUUGCGCGGCGGCGUUCGUCGGCGAUUGGGUCAUCUUAUAUCCUUUUGGUUUUUAAGCGUCUUAAAAUUUUCUUUUUGGUUCCAUGAUCGCUUCUUAGAUU